GUCUAUGGCCAGCUACCUUGAACAAGCCCAAUCCCAUCUGAUCUUGGAAGCUAAGCAGAGUUGGGCCUGGUUAGUACUUGGAUGGGAGACCACCUAGGAAGACCAGGUGCUGUAGGUG
This 118-nucleotide ribosomal RNA is filed under the name Pteropus alecto (black flying fox). The record is from RNAcentral. Lineage: Eukaryota; Metazoa; Chordata; Mammalia; Chiroptera; Pteropodidae.